GAGGGUAUAGCUCAAGUGGUAGAGCACAUGCUUAGCAUGCAUGAAGUCCUGGGUUCAAUCCCUAGUACCUCCU
This 73-nucleotide transfer RNA is filed under the name Camelus bactrianus (Bactrian camel). It matches the Rfam family "tRNA". Rfam says of the family: Transfer RNA (tRNA) molecules are approximately 80 nucleotides in length. Their secondary structure includes four short double-helical elements and three loops (D, anti-codon, and T loops). Further hydrogen bonds mediate the characteristic L-shaped molecular structure. tRNAs have two regions of fundamental functional importance: the anti-codon, which is responsible for specific mRNA codon recognition, and the 3' end, to which the tRNAs corresponding amino acid is attached (by aminoacyl-tRNA synthetases). tRNAs cope with the degeneracy of the genetic code in two manners: having more than one tRNA (with a specific anti-codon) for a particular amino acid; and 'wobble' base-pairing, i.e. permitting non-standard base-pairing at the 3rd anti-codon position. The record is from Rfam by way of RNAcentral. RNAcentral also lists the same sequence under 2 other names. Lineage: Eukaryota; Metazoa; Chordata; Mammalia; Artiodactyla; Camelidae.